This is a long non-coding RNA of Paramisgurnus dabryanus, 828 nucleotides long. RefSeq lists it as uncharacterized. The record is from RefSeq and is a predicted model, not a curated record. Lineage: Eukaryota; Metazoa; Chordata; Actinopteri; Cypriniformes; Cobitidae.
CAGGCUCGUUGCAAACGAUUCAUCACUACUGUACGCAUGCGUUGUCGUCGUUGGUGGAGAAGCUGUUGUGACGUGUAUUAUAAAGUUGCUGGUGUUCUUAAACAAAGAUGCCACGUAAAAAGGGAUUCCGGAGAUCUGAGGCGGCUAAGAGGCGCAUGGCUGUUGUCAGCCAUGUUGAGCCUCUUGUAAAAAGACCCGCAUAUGAGGUUGGGCCUCCUCUCAAAAGUGCUCCAAUACCGACAAUUUAUUGUCCCAAAACUGUCAAUGAAAAAGUCCAUGUGACUGCCAAAACUGCCAAUGAGAAAGUCCACGUGACUGCCAAAACUGUCAAUGAGAAAGUCCACGCGACUGCCAAUAAAACUGUCAUUGAAACUGUCAUUGAAACUGUCAUUGAGAAAGUCCAUGGGACUGCCAAUAAAACUGUCAUUGAGAAAGUCCAUGGGACUGCCAAUAAGACUGUCAAUGAGAAAGUGCAUGUGAUUGACAAGGUAUCUGCCAAUGAAGCUGAUAAAGUACUGGAUGGAUCAGUUAUAAGAGGAUCGUUCAGUCAAGACGAUAUGCGAUUUGGUAAUACAAGAAAUAAGCAGUGUGCGGCUAUCAGUUUAACAUCUGUACUUCAGCACUGUGUAAAAAAUGUUUUGACAUGGCAAACUGCAGAUUUGGAUAAUGUACUGAAUAAGGGAAAUGACCUUUAUGUUGUUUUAAAAAAUACAAGGCAAAUAGGAAAAGGCCAGUGUGAAUACAUAUUGAUUCCAGAACUUCCCAGAACAUGUACGUACUGUGACAAAUAUUUUGAAAUAAAGUUUGGUUCAUCUUUCGGUGGCUUUA